AUUGAACGCUGGCGGCAUGCUUUACACAUGCAAGUCGAACGGCAGCACGGGCUUCGGCCUGGUGGCGAGUGGCGAACGGGUGAGUAAUGCAUCGGAACGUGCCCAUUUGUGGGGGAUAACUACGCGAAAGCGUGGCUAAUACCGCAUACGCCCUGAGGGGGAAAGCGGGGGAUUCUUCGGAACCUCGCGCAAUUGGAGCGGCCGAUGUCAGAUUAGCUUGUUGGUGAGGUAAAGGUUCACCAAGGCGACGAUCUGUAGCGGGUCUGAGAGGAUGAUCCGCCACACUGGGACUGAGACACGGCCCAGACUCCUACGGGAGGCAGCAGUGGGGAAUUUUGGACAAUGGGGGCAACCCUGAUCCAGCCAUGCCGCGUGAGUGAAGAAGGCCUUCGGGUUGUAAACGUACUUUCGUCGCACGACGAUAAUGACGGUAGUGCGAGAAGAAGACUCCGGCUAACUUCGUGUCCAGCAGCCGCGGUAACUAGUCUACG
RNAcentral lists this ribosomal RNA (491 nucleotides) under uncultured bacterium. RNAcentral's name for it is "bacterial SSU rRNA". It matches the Rfam family "Bacterial small subunit ribosomal RNA", at positions 30 to 527 of the family's 1533-position model. The record is from RNAcentral.